Molecule: long non-coding RNA, 855 nt
Organism: Poecilia latipinna (sailfin molly)
Lineage: Eukaryota; Metazoa; Chordata; Actinopteri; Cyprinodontiformes; Poeciliidae
Exons: 3
Source: RefSeq, a predicted model, not a curated record
UCUCCUCUGUGUAGACGUUACAGAAGCUGCAUUGCUAUCAUUAUCUCCACCUAAGUGGCCGCAGAGAAAACUGUAUAACAUCUGAGCGUGACUGGGUCGCCAGCGUGAAUGGUGGCUCAUGCUCGCAGCUCCAGACGAGACAAAAGGUGGUUGAUAAAAAGAAAGGAAACAUCCUGCACUUUCCAAAUCUGUUCUUCAUUUUAGGGGUAUCAAGCGCUCCCUCUUACACGAAGCUGUGAGGGAACGUGAGAAUGUCAAAGGGGCUGACAUUUAUCUGCAGCCCGCCGCCCCCACCACCAAACGCUUUUAAAAAACUUUUCUCAUCCCUGCUCAGGACCCUCGGCUGGAGACGCCGCUUCCUGGCUCUUCAGCGGUCGUGGAUGUUGUUGCCACAGAAACAGCGCGGUGUUGACAUCACAGUGCUUCAAGUGAUCUGCUGUGGAGACCAAAAAGCCAAAGCCUGAUGAUCACCGCCUGAGUCCUCGGAGGUUUGCGAGAAGCUGUUAGCCUCCAGCUGUGGACACAAGCUGAAACGUGCAUGAAACACAGAAGAAGACAAACACACACACACACGCAUACACACACACACACACACACACACACCCUUGUGUUUUGGAGAGAGGAUAAUGACGUGAACUGGCGCAUGUGAUUGUGUCUGUUUAAUGGCUGCAUUGCUGAAACAACACGGGAUGAACUUUGGUCUGUUGUAAACAUUUUACGGGCGUGUAAACAUGCAGUGUGGAAAUGUAUGAUGAGCUGAUUGGGGGGGGGUGGACAUUUUUAAUUAUUACCUUAAAAAGGGAAAAUUCCCCACCUCUGCUGUUUGCUGGAAUAAACAGAAACAAUCCAAAGGCC